Molecule: small RNA, 969 nt
Filed under: Arabidopsis thaliana (thale cress)
Lineage: Eukaryota; Viridiplantae; Streptophyta; Magnoliopsida; Brassicales; Brassicaceae
Description: ATSL032510
Source: RNAcentral
UAUAAGCUAACAGUUCUAAAAUGCGAGGUGAUCGACUUCUACUUAAAAACUUUAGCCAUGCUCUGUUAUGAUCCAAAUUCACACUCAAUUGCACAAUACGUCAAGAUCAACCAAUCACUUUAACAUUCAUUAAGUUCAAGAACAUGAAUCAAGAUAUGCAUCGCUAGUGAACUCAUUUGGCUAAAGACGGGUUAUGAGACAAAGAUGGUCCCUUUAAGAUGGUUCAGACUUUAAUAACAUGGGACUCUCAAUGAAAAAUGACUGAGCUUUAGAAGAAUGCUAAAGGUAAGUGCCAACCUAUGCAUACAAGAAUAGCACCCCAUCUACCCAAUGACAUAAACCGUGAAUAACAAGUAGAUGGUCCUAUCUCUAAACCCAAUGAUGAUCCUAAGUCUACCUUUUUGCACUAAAGGCAUAUUUCAAUUUUUUCUUGGAUCAAAACAUUUCCUUUCAUUUCUUUGGCUCUUCCUCUUAAGGAGAAGUUUUUCUUAAACUCUAUGAGUCUAGUCUAGUGAAUUGAGUUUUUCUUAAACUCUAAUGGCUCUUAUGAUUUUUUUUUUCUUUUCUUUUCUGUUUUUGUUGCCAUUUUUUUUUUUAGAGUAUAUCUUAUCAAUUCUAUGCUUCCCAAACAUUCACUAGACCUCAAUAUGAUUUUUAGCUUCCUUCUCCUAAAGAUUCUAACUCGUUUACUUUCUUUUCUUUUCACAUUCAAUCUCAAUUCCCAAAUAAGUUCCCACCUAGUCCUACCAAGUCCGAAAACGCGGAUUGGAAGUACAUGGGAUACUACUCUUGUCGGCUCAAACCUAACACGUUCUACCAAGCUCAGUCCUGAAAAUAGGCCUCACAUGCUCUCACAAAUAACAUGGCUUGAAAGAAGGGUUGGUUAAGGGUGGGGGAACUACUCCAAUAAUAGAAGCAGCUACUUGGAUUAGCAAGAGUGGUGAAUAAGUGAAAGAAAAUCCAAAUAUA